UGUUUCACUUAAAUCCCUUAAAGAUAUGAUCCGUCGUUUGGCCGAUGUGGCGAAUACGCAAUUCAUAACCACAACAUUUCGUCCGGAGUUGGUAAAAGUUGCGGAUAAGAUAUACGGCGUUACUCACAAAAACAGAGUUAGCCAUGUCCACGUUGUUUCGAAGGAGGAGGCUCUCGAUUUUAUCGAACAAGAUCAGAACCAAAGUGCUUAAUCAGGUUUGCUUUUACCUGAUAUAUUAUGCAGCUGUGAAUGUCAGCAGGCAUGAACAUAUAGUACUUUUCCUUCCUCCAUUUCAACUUUAGCAGUGUCUGCAAUUUUUAAUUUUUGUUUCUGUAAAUUUUGAAUUACUGAGGGAGUAAUUUGUAGCAUGCAUUAUGAUUUUUUACUCUAGAAACCAAUUAUAUGUGUUAGUAGAUUGAAGUUGUAUUGGAUGUGAAGAACUUUAUGCUAAUUUUUCCAUGGCCUAAACUAGUCCAAGGUGAUUUAUUCCUA
This is a long non-coding RNA of Phalaenopsis equestris, 492 nucleotides long. RefSeq lists it as uncharacterized. Lineage: Eukaryota; Viridiplantae; Streptophyta; Magnoliopsida; Asparagales; Orchidaceae. The transcript has 2 exons. The record is from RefSeq and is a predicted model, not a curated record.